AGGACGAACGCUGGCGGCGUGCUUAACACAUGCAAGUCGAGCGGAAAGGCCCUUCGGGGUACUCGAGCGGCGAACGGGUGAGUAACACGUGAGCAACCUGCCCUUAGCUCCGGGAUAGCUCCGGGAAACCGGAAUUAAUACCGGAUAUGACCUAGGCCGACAUCGGCUGUGGGUGGAAAGUUUUUCGGCUGGGGAUGGACUCGCGGCCUAUCAGCUUGUUGGUGGGGUAAUGGCCUACCAAGGCGACGACGGGUAGCCGGCCUGAGAGGGCGACCGGCCACACUGGGACUGAGACACGGCCCAGACUCCUACGGGAGGCAGCAGUGGGGAAUCUUGCGCAAUGGGCGAAAGCCUGACGCAGCGACGCCGCGUGGGGGAUGAAGGCCUUCGGGUUGUAAACCCUUUCAGCAGGGACGAAGCGAAAGUGACGGUACCUGCAGAAGAAGCGCCGGCUAACUACGUGCCAGCAGCCGC
This 474-nucleotide ribosomal RNA is filed under the name uncultured bacterium. Its description in RNAcentral is "SSU rRNA". It matches the Rfam family "Bacterial small subunit ribosomal RNA", at positions 26 to 518 of the family's 1533-position model. The record is from RNAcentral.